Galeopterus variegatus (Sunda flying lemur) is the source of this 74-nucleotide non-coding RNA. The record is from the annotation of a RefSeq genome assembly. NCBI's taxonomy places the organism in Eukaryota, Metazoa, Chordata, Mammalia, Dermoptera, Cynocephalidae.
GGCCAGUUAGCUCAGUUGGUUAAAGUGUGGUGCUGAUACCACCAAGGUCCAGGGUUCGAUUCCUAUACUGGCCU